UGCUUUUUGGAUAUAUAAAAAGUAUUACCUGCCCAAUGAUAAUUUAAAUGGCCGCGGUAUACUGACUGUGCAAAGGUAGCAUAAUCAUUUGUUUUGUAAAUUAAAGCUUGUAUGAAUGGUAUAAUGAAAAUAUAACUGUCUUUUAUUUAUUUAUAGAAUUUGCUUUUUCAGUGCAGAAGCUGAAAGAUUUUAGAAAGACGAGAAGACCCUAAUGAGUUUUAUAUAAUAUUAUUAUUUAUAUAAUAAUUUAUAUUUUAUUGGGGCAAUAAAAGAAUAAAUUUUCUUUUAGAAAAAUAAAAUGAUAAUUGUUGAACCAUUAUUAAUGAUUAUAAGUUUAAAUUACCAUAGGGAUAACAGCAUAAUCUUUUUUGAGAGUACAUAUCGACAAAAGGGAUUGUGACCUCGAUGUUGAAUUAAGAGAAUUAUAUAAUGAAGAAGUUAUAUGAAUAA
RNAcentral lists this ribosomal RNA (450 nucleotides) under Occiperipatoides sp. DNA104661. RNAcentral describes it as "partial 16S ribosomal RNA". It matches the Rfam family "Bacterial large subunit ribosomal RNA", at positions 1831 to 2574 of the family's 2925-position model. Lineage: Eukaryota; Metazoa; Onychophora; Udeonychophora; Euonychophora; Peripatopsidae. The record is from RNAcentral.